Molecule: long non-coding RNA, 835 nt
Filed under: Struthio camelus australis
Lineage: Eukaryota; Metazoa; Chordata; Aves; Struthioniformes; Struthionidae
Description: lncRNA (ENSSCUG00000005402.1)
Source: RNAcentral
GAGCCAACAGAUGUACAGAUGCUUUGACUUUUCUGAGAAUGAAAAAUAUGCAAAACCCAAGAGACUGAACUCUUGAUUUGCAGCUAUAACUUUUGUGAUUGAAGCUAGUGAAAGGAUUUGGAAAUACGUACAGGAGGAAAAACCAGAACGCUGUGCUGUGUAGCAGAAUGGCGUCAGGCGGUGCAUGCCAUUGAAAGCCCAUGCGAGCUGUUGGGCUCCAACCUUGGCUGGACUGUGGAUGAGACCAGUGUCCCAGUUUCAAGACUUACAAGUUUGGAAGAAAAAUUAAUUCUAUUCGUAUGGCAGAGCUGGUUUUAAGGGAAAAAGGACGAUUUCUCAGAACACAGAGAAACUUCACCAGAAUACAUCAAAUAGCACUGAAAGUCAAUUAAUGCAGAGGUAGAAAAGGGAAGCAUCCAGCUUUACCUCUCUCCAGACUGUGAUAAGUCUCUUGCAAAUUUAACAGUCAGAAACGAUUGUUUUGUUUUCGACAAGUGGCAUUACUUCCUCUUAUACUGGAAUUAAAAUUGAUUAAAGCUGAUUCAUGACUUUUCAAUAUUUUCCGCAUCCGUUUGUUGCUUUCUAUUUGAAAACAUUAUUUCAGUGAAAUUAACACAGAUAGCUUUUCCUUGGUUUUUUUUUUUUUUUUUGAACUGUCUAAGUAUUAAGUUGAGAGAUUGGUAUAACUAGUGUUUUCUGACUGAGCAUAUUUGCUGCUACACUAUGCUGGUGAAUUUAGCAUUAAUUUCACUUUAGGUAGUAGAAGGGGCACUUUUUAAUAGAAAUAUUUUCUGUAAAAAAUAAAUGCUUUUAGAAAUGAUGUCUUCCUAAGGGA